Molecule: long non-coding RNA, 1182 nt
Organism: Gallus gallus (chicken)
Lineage: Eukaryota; Metazoa; Chordata; Aves; Galliformes; Phasianidae
Source: Ensembl
GGAGGCUGUACAUUCUCUCAUAUUUAAUACUUGGGACUGUGGCUAUUUUUUUUUUUAAGUAUUUUUGAGGUUAAUUAUUGUCACUAUUGCAGCCAGUAAGAUGUUGUGGACCUUCACUGCAAGAAGUCACUUGCUCAUGGUAUCCAACAGUCAGAAAAUGCUCAGGAUUGCUUGUUGUCUUAAUGCCUGAAUUUGGAAUGCUUUAUUCCAAGCCAUUAGCCACAGAGAUGGACUUGAGAGAUUCGGAAUGAUCUGUGAGCAACUGAUGUGGGUCAUGAUGUGUUUGAAGUAGGUAUUCUGGACCAUCUGUACUGUCUCCCUUUUUAUUUUUCUAUUCACCUUUGGCUUUUUAUAUGUUUAUGUGUAUUUUUGACUUGCACGAUAUUCCUCAGAGAAAAGGACCAGUCCUGAAGACCCAGGGGGUGGUAAUAAGGCUUCUAUGAUACUAUUUCCACUGCUGGUGGGAUGUCAUUAUGGGGACAGACUCUUGAGCAGGGUCUGAUGUGAGAAAGCAAUUGGCCAAAUCUGACCAGUUCUAAGCAGCUUGCUCUGCACUCACAGCAUAUGUAGAUAUGGAUUGAUUCAAAGCCUUGUUGACUUCUCUAAAGUUCUUCUAUUAAUUUCCCAAAAUUUGGGAUUUAAUUGUUUGAGAGCAGACAAGAGCAGCUGUUAGUGAAAGACUAACCAAGGCUCAGGUCUCCUGAUGCUUUCUUCUCCCCACUUGCUCGUUGUGGCUCACUGCGCUGGGCCUUGGUCCCACUGGCUGAAUCUGUUCGUGCCAGUGGAGCUCCGCUCUCUGCAGCCAGGAGGGCCUUUCCUUCCUUGUUACACUCAGAUGUUCUCAUGCUGCGUUCUCUUAAGCUAAUAUACAGCUUAAUUUACAUACGGCAACCCAUGCUUUUCUUUAUCUAGUUAUCCCAUUCACCUGGCUGCAUGGAGAUGUCACUGGGCGGUAUGCAAAUCAAACGUAAUACAUUAGCAGUUAUUAUAUUAAUAAUAUCCCCAGCUCUUGCAUUGUUUCUGAGCUCAGCUUUAGGAAAGCAGCCUCUGUACCACAGCACAUCUUCCUUUGCUCCUCCAGCAUACCCAGCCCUGCGCAGGAGAAACUGCAGUGCACUGGCACAGUAGCUCCCAUCAAAACGAAAUCACAACAGUUUUAAUCUUAUCAGUCUCAAAUAGUGG